GAGAAUAACUGAGAUGGUUGAUGAGGAUCCGCUUACUGUAAAAGUUGAUCACCUAAAGGAAAAGCCCUAUAAUAAAGAUGACGAUGUUAUAAAGGCGACCUCAUUUGAAGUUAUAUCUACAUUAAGGGAUGUUUUAAAGACCAGUUCACUUUGGAGAGAUCAUGUCCAAACUUAUACUCAGCAUAUUGGUGAUUUCAAUUAUCCGAGGCUAGCAGAUUUUGGAGCUGCUAUAUCUGGGGCUAACAAGUUGCUGUGCCAGCAAGUGCUUGAAGAACUUGAUNNNNNNNNNNNNNNNNNNNNNNNNNNNNNNNNNNNNNNNNNNNNNNNNNNNNNNNNNNNNNNNNNNNNNNNNNNNNNNNNCUUAAGGUUGACUGAUAGUUACCCUAUAUGAUCAUUUUAUUACAUUGGAUAUGUUAUACAUCGCUAUAGAUAGAUAAGCAAAAAUCAUAUGUUUCAGGUGUUGUAUUACUGCAUGUGCCUUCGAGACAAAAAAUGUGAAGUUUUAGGAAAUAGCAGUAAGAUCUGCAGUAUUGGAUAAAUUAUGAUGGUUGGCAAAUAAAGGAGGCUACAAGCAAGAUUCAGGUAAGCAUCAUAUGGUUGUUAUGUAAUGAAUGAGGAUAGGGUUCGACAUGAGAUUGUUAAAGAAUGUCGAAGCUACCAUAUUUAUUGAUGAAUACUUGUUUUAAAGAUUGAGAUGGUAUGAUGUAUUUGUUGCAAAUAUCUUUGCUUUCCUUGGUUAAGCAAACAAUUUAGAUUUUAGUCAAAGGUGAAGAAAAGUCAAGAUAUUAGAUGAAAGUUGUGAGGAAUGAUUAGGAAAUGCUAGCAGUUGCUAAGGAUGCAACUCUUGACAAAAAAAAAAAACACAUGGCGAAGAAAUUGUUAAAGGUGAUUUUCAAAUAAUAUAUAAACUUGUUGACUAUUGCUGAUUUAUCAUGCUUAGCAGGACAACAAGGAUCAUGGUCAUGGUUUGCUGAAUCAACCCAUACCACCGUCUAUCAGGUGUACCAUGCCUGUAUGGUUUUGAGUUUUGGUUUGAUAUAUGAGCAGAACCACUUUGAAUUGAGCGGAACUACCUCAUACCACCCAAUUCCAUGUUGUACCAACUAUACUACUUGGUUUCAGGCGGUGGUACCAUAGCUAGGCAGAAGAAAAUAUUGUUGCUAUAGUAUUCAUUAUCAUACUGUACUGACUCUACCAUACCGGUAAGGUAUUUGUAUGGCAGUCGGCUUGAUUGUGGUGCUUGGUAUACAUUUUAUAGCUUGAAAUGUCAAUAUUUUCGUGUCAUGAUUUUAAUCCCUUUUCCUACAUAUAUGUAAGCAUGUAUAUUUUGUGAAGCUGCAUAUCCUUGUUGUUAGACCGCAUCAAUAUGGUGGCAAGUAUCUAUGGGUUUGAACACACAUAGAGGGUGAUGUAUCAUAUGAUCUGUUCACAAAAUCCAUUUUAAAUUUCCUUGCAGGAUCCCAAAUUGUUGGCAGCUUUGGUGGAAAAUCGUAAAAGAUCAGUUGCAUAUGCUGGUGCCUUUCUUCUUAAGGAUGAGCCAGGGGCUGAUCCAACUCUUGUAUCUGGUUCAGAAACAGAGAAAAAUAUUUAUGAUCUCAAAGGGAAGGAAUUGUUCAAACGCCUUCAUGAAGUUGGAACCCUGGCCCAGGUAACCUUUUCAACGAUGUAGUGUGUAAAUAAUUUUCAUUUGCUUAUGCAAAUGAAUGUUGAUGUUUAGAAUGAGUCAUUUGCUAACAGUUUUGCUGUCUAGCAUUUGUUUAUAUAGAUAACAAGCAUACAAGGGGAUCAGGUAGUGCUUAUUGGUCACCGGCGUUUGAGAAUAACUGAGAUGGUAAGUUGCUUCGCCAAGGAUGAUUAGUUGCUUUUAUUUGAUUUUUUUGGCAGUAUUCAUGUCUGCGACUUGCAUAAUAACCUUCAUUAUGCAGGUUGAUGAGGAUCCGCUUACUGUAAAAGUUGAUCACCUAAAGGUACAUUUUCUGUUUUCUUCUCUAUUUUCUGAGUCAUCUUACAAUAGUUGGAGUUUGCUGUUCGUAUAUUCCUUGUACCUGUGCUAAUGCUACUUUUGAUAUACACUGGAGAAUGGUGUACUUCCGCCCAACUUAAAUGGAUUCUGGAAGAUCUUCGUCCCUUGUAGUUUCUUAUUAUUGAUUUAAAGGGGCCUAUCUUUGGUUAACCUGGCACAAGAAGGCCAUAAUUAGGUUGUGCCAGUUGCCAGAACUAAAAGUUUACAUAUACUGACUGAAAGAUUGAUACACCUGGAAUGUAAUUGAAAUGAAAGCAACCAAAAACGAGGGCAUGUUCGUUUUUACAGACUAUGCAUGACAUCUGCAGCGCAUUUACCUUCACUUUGCCUUGAAAAACCGGAAGCUCAUGCUUAUAUGGAAAAAAGCAGGUUUUAAUUUGACUCUAUGGACAGGAAGAGCCACAUGACCUGACAGCGUCGAAAUUGUUAUUAGUACUGGAAUUUGUCUCUAGACAUUGCCUUUUUUGGUUUUGUUCCAGUACUUCCAGCUACUUCUAUGAAUCUGUUUUUUCUGCCUAUGAUCAUGCUCAUAGAUAAGCUCUUCAAGUUGUCGUUGGGUUAAUGCAUAUAACAUUUGGAAUCAUUGGAAUGGAUGACUAUAUCUUUUUUGAUAUUUUUGAUUGCUCUUCUGUUACUUCAAAUUUUUCUUAGAUGAUUUAUUCAAUAAUGCCUAGUUUGAGAUCAGAACUAGAUACCCAUUUGCAAUAUUUGACAGUGAUUAUGAUUUAUUGAUGUUCAGUCGGACUUGAGGUUCAUAUACAAUAUCUCUUACUUACUCGAGAAGAUUCCUUCAAUUUGUCUACACUUAAUUGCUGCUAAUUUUGCAGGAAAAGCCCUAUAAUAAAGAUGACGAUGUUAUAAAGGCGACCUCAUUUGAAGUUAUAUCUACAUUAAGGGAUGUUUUAAAGACCAGUUCACUUUGGAGAGAUCAUGUCCAAACUUAUACUCAGGUGACCUUUUUAAAUUGAUUGAAUUUUGUCCAAUUCUUUCAUUACGUUACAUGUCGGCUUCAACUUUGACCAUGGAGACGUCACUCCUAUUUUUCCAGUUAUUUAUUGGCUGAAUAGCUGUUUUUACCCUCUAUAAAACAUCGUGAUAUCUGACUUCUCAAAUUUACAAGGUUGAAGGAAAAAAGAUCAAAGUUCUUACCAAUAUUAAAGCCUAAGUCACUAGCAGAAUAAAGACAACUUAUACAUGCUAUUCUGUAUAGUCAAUGAUCCAUGCAUUUGAAAGUCGCUCUCUACAACCAUGGGUGGUUUGCAUUUUUGGUGGCCAGUUGAAAAGUUCUUAUUGGUGCAUUCUUGACUAGAAUUUUCUCAACCUAACAUUAUCUUAAUAAGAUAAGGAUCAUUUGUAUGCAUAGAUUAUAGUUUAUAUCACAUCUAUCGUUAAUAUUAAGCUCUCUUUUUUGAGUUGAGAUCUCAAGCCUGAAAAGCUUUGGCCUGUAAAUUUUGUGAGUUGAUUAUUAGUUUAUACGAUCGAAUGCUUUUCAAAUAUUAUGAUUGAAAUGUUACAACUAAAUUUUGCUGUAAAAGAAUCACUUCUCAUUUUUAACUUUUCUUCACAACCUCAGCAUAUUGGUGAUUUCAAUUAUCCGAGGCUAGCAGAUUUUGGAGCUGCUAUAUCUGGGGCUAACAAGUUGCUGUGCCAGCAAGUGCUUGAAGAACUUGAUGUAAGUAACAAACUUGUGAUUUAUAAAUGUCAAUAAUACAGCAAAUAAGGAUUUAAGUACCAGUGGUCCAGUACAUGCGAUUUGUCCUGAUCGUACCGAUAAGGUAUGGGUGACAAUACACCUCCCAUACCAUUAGCAUACUCAUGCAUGGUAAUUUACCUAUAUUUUGUUGUCCCAACCAAGGUACGCUGAACCGGUAUCGGUAGACAUACCGGUCGCCUACCGGACCGGUUCGGACCGGUUUAUACUGGUACCGAACUGCCCUUUAUAAAAUAGCGCGCGCGGGUGUGCUGCCCAGUACCGGUGCAAACCGGUUCGGCUCGCACGGGUACAAGACGGACCGGGCUUGUACUGGUGCGAACUGAUCCGAUUCGCACCGAUACGCCUCCGUACCUCUCGGUUCCGGACCCAUAUGGGGGGCCUGAA
Molecule: long non-coding RNA, 4121 nt
Filed under: Phoenix dactylifera (date palm)
Lineage: Eukaryota; Viridiplantae; Streptophyta; Magnoliopsida; Arecales; Arecaceae
Description: long non-coding RNA (PDAC_LNC006300)
Source: RNAcentral